Molecule: long non-coding RNA, 300 nt
Organism: Sardina pilchardus (European sardine)
Lineage: Eukaryota; Metazoa; Chordata; Actinopteri; Clupeiformes; Clupeidae
Exons: 3
Source: RefSeq, a predicted model, not a curated record
GUCAGAUCUGAAAUUGUUUUGAUUUGCUGGCUUCAUGACAUCUCACAAUAUUCUGCUUCAAAGACCAGCUGGAGCGGAAAAGGACAGCACUUGACAAACUAUUUCAAGGCUAGCAGGUCUCUCGGCAGUCAGCACACUCCAACAUGGCCGCCUCCCCUCAGCCUCCCAGCAGCAUGAAUAUUCUGCUGCUGGUCUGAGGCGGGAGGCUCACCCGGGACCCGGCCCGCCGAGCACUCUGGGAAAUUCAGGGAUCAGCUCCGCCGGCAGAGAGAGAGCAGGAAGCCAUUAUGAUGCAGGAAC